UUCUAGAUACGACAUUAUCCUCAAUAGAUGGAUCUUACAAUCAUCGAAGCCCUAGAUGAAGGUGGCGGCAAUGACGUCGAGCAUUUUCCUCCUGAAUGUCGUAGAAUCUCGAAACUCUACAAUACAGCACUCUUGAAUUGCAGGCGGGAUGGGCUCAGGCUGAGGAGAGAGUUUGGUCGUAGGAGGCAAAGGAGAGAGAGCCCCAUGAGAAGAGGUUGUGCUGGUACAUCUAGCUCUCUCUCUCUUUCAUAGGCAGAAUACCUUUGACGGGCAUCCCUUGCAAAGGCAUUCCGCUCUCUCAUCUAUUGCUUAAUUAACUCUAAGGGUGG
RNAcentral lists this long non-coding RNA (329 nucleotides) under Elaeis guineensis (African oil palm). Its description in RNAcentral is "long non-coding RNA (EGUI_LNC011635)". Lineage: Eukaryota; Viridiplantae; Streptophyta; Magnoliopsida; Arecales; Arecaceae. The record is from RNAcentral.